This 200-nucleotide unclassified non-coding RNA is filed under the name fungal sp. RNAcentral's name for it is "partial internal transcribed spacer region". The stretch from base 1 to 46 matches the Rfam family "Eukaryotic small subunit ribosomal RNA", at positions 1786 to 1831 of the family's 1831-position model. The record is from RNAcentral. Lineage: Eukaryota; Fungi.
AAGUCGUAACAAGGUCUCCGUAGGUGAACCUGCGGAGGGAUCAUUAACGAAUGGCCCCAUUGGGCCUUUCAACCCCUCAAACCUGUGGAAGCAAGCAGUGCUUCGGCGCCCUCGUGGCGUCGCUAUUUUACCAUCUGCCUCUCUGUGUGUCUGAUUGUCCUCUAGAAUUAAAACUUUCAACAAAGGAUCUCUUGGCUCUC